AGGACAUUGCUGGCAUCUUAGUGAGACUUGGUGACCUUAAUUUCCUCCAUAUCCUGAUCUCUGAUGGGGGAUGCAGGGUGGGGAAGUCUGCACUCGAUUGGGAGGAGGUUGCUCUGGGAACCUACUUUGAACCCUCCAGAAUUGACUCAAUGGCAAUUAGUCUUUUUGUUGUUGUUUUUUGGUUUGAACCAUUCAGGAUUGCAGUGUGGAUGGACAGCAGAAGUGUUUCAAAGAUUUGGACUCCCUUCGUGGUCGGCAGGGUGCACUCCAGGUUCAGGUACAGAUAUGUCAGCAGAAGAUUGCUGCCGUGCAGGCCCAGGAACAAGAGCUGGAGGAAAGGAACAAGGGGUUGUGCUCUGACCUGGACAAGGCUUGGCAAGAGGUGAAGCGAUUGCAACAGCUGCUAAUCAGCCAGAAGGCACAGUAUGACUCUGAGUUGAAGAGAAAGGAGAAGGAGCUGGGGAAGCUCAAGGAGCGGGUGCAGGAGAUGCAGGGGGAAUGGCGGAACUGCCAGGGAAGUCAGUCUCUGAGUGGUGAAGAGAAGCUUUCACAGGAGAAAGUUCCUCACCAUCCAUGCCACCCACACACCCUCUCUUUCCUCCUUUCCUACCUAGAGAUUGAUAUUCUCAACAACCUGAAGCAGUCCAAUGGGAAGCAGACCACGUGGAAAAUUGGCAAAGCUAACAGCAAGUAGGAAGGGACUAGCUUUUGUGAUAGGGAGCAGGGAGACCAGAAUGUAAGGGAGAGGAGAAGUGAGCUGGAAUGCUUUGAUUAGUUUUGAGCUAUUCUCUUACUCCCACCUGUCCUGUUCCAUUUUUUAGGAAAGAGGGAGAGUUGUUCCAAACAGUGGUGAGAAACCUCGAGAACCAAGUGGCAGCAGUUUCCAAGGAAAAUGAAGAACUCAGGCAGUUGCUGACCAGACUAGACAGGGAUGUGGUGGGACUUCUGGGUUGCCCUUGGGACAGUCCUACUGUGAGUUUUCAUGCACAGAAAAAGGCAGACAUAGAUGUUGAAUCAGGCUCCUGAUGCUAUAAAUAUCUUUUUCAACUGUACUAUGAAGUGGGAGGUGGUGUUCUCUCAGCAGGAGCCAGAUGGGUAACAUUCCAGUCUAGAAGGCUUCUGCUUUGGUCCAAAACUGCAGGCUUGAUGAAUUGUCUUCAUUGAAGGCUGACCCAAUUUUUCCUCCUCUUUCCCAGUGGAUACCAUCUAUCUUCCCCUCUCCAGGAAACUAUAGCUUUGGAUUGUAGUGCCUUGUGGGAACACUGGAGUUGCCUCAAGAAGGAAACAGACGUACUGAAGAAACAAGGUAGAACCUCCCCUUCCACUUGGAGACCCAGAUAGUCUCUGUGUGGGCGAGGGCUGGAGUUAGUACAUGUAUUUCAUAUAGCUCUGGGCUUGAGGCUUGAAACCCUGUUCAUACCGACUCUGCAUCAUCAUGCUGGCCUGUUAUCAGGCCAGCCUGCAGAGGAGCCUCUAGGUAGAGAACCCACAAUCAGCUUCACUGACCAUGACAAGGAGCUGGUCCAGCUGCGACAGGAGAUUUAGAGGAGUUGGGACUUUAUCGCCUGGCAACAGCGCUGCUUCCAGGUGAGGGGCCCCGAGGGGCUUCUACGGGUCACCGCUACGAGGCAGGAACAGUGCUCAGCCGGCACCCUUCAUGCAGGAGCAGAUUAGCUCUGGUGAGGAGUUGCCAGAUUAGCUCUGGUGAGGAGUUGCCAGCCCACCUCUGAGGCUCAUACUUUCUGGAGGAAGAGCAGAGGCUGAAGGAAGCUCAGGCCCUCUUUGCCCAGGAGCAGGCGCACUUUAAGGUGGAGAGACACCGCUUCACCGAAGCCGCCAUUCGUCUGGGCCACGAGCGCCAGCGCUUAGAGGGGGAGCGGGCCCUCUUUUUGAAGGAGCAGCUGCUGGAAUUUUCUCUCUACAGUUCUUCCCAGGCAAAUACCCUAAGUUCCUGUCUGGAUUUACCAGGACUCCAAAAUAGGGACCCUCUAUCUUGGUGCCCUGUUUCCUGUUCCAACUCUGGCCUCAGCAAAAGUCCAGGCAGGUGCCCUUGUGUCCCAGAAUAUUACCACACUGGAGGGGUCUACUCACUUCCUCAUCAUCCACGUGGAAGGUAAGGGUGGGGACAGUGAUGUGAGGGGUUUGGGUACAGGCUUAGUGUGCCAGAGGAAGGCACCAUCAGUAAAAUUUCUUCCCCCUUCUUCCUCCAGAGUACACUGGGAUUGCUGCAAACGGGAAGGAAAUGAUCCCAACUUUCCACCUGAUUUGCUAGAUGGCUUCCUGAACAGUUUCCUCUGACAAGUCCUUUCUUUAUUCACCUCUGAUACUUCAGAGAUGAUAGAGAUGGGCAUGUAAAAGAGUUAGCUUUUGUUUUUAGUGUUGUGGAAAGCCCUAUUUUUAAAAUUGUUCUGGGUCUCAAUAAAGAAAACAAAUCCCUUAUUGGCAUAGCUGUGGACAUUAAGGGUUGGGUGUAUUGGUUUUCAAGGGAGAAUGAGUCAUGGAAGAAAAGAGUAGAGUGGUUGAGCGAGGAGAGAGAGAAUUGAGAGAAAGGGUAUGGAGAACUUCUCUUCUUCCCUUAAAAAAUAAGUAUUUUAUGCCAGGCAAAGACUGAAAUAAUGGAUAGAAUUCAUGUACUCUCCUUAUGAUUUUACUCUUUACUCCUUCUCCCUUACUUUGUUAACUUCCUUAUCUUGAGGAGAGAAUUGAUGUUCCACAGCGGAAAGGUAGGUCUCCUUGUGGGAAUGGGGAAUGGGACAGAAUGAAGAACCUAGAGAGUUGGAUUAGGAACAUGCAUUGAAGAGUUUCCAAUACCAGCUAUAAAUUGCCACACUUAAGGGGCAGGGGGUUGCAGACAGGAGUGAGCACCAGAAGAGGAUUUUCAGUAGUCCAGAUAAUAGUCCAGAGACAACUUGGUUUGAAUGGUCCCCUCCUUUACCCUUCCGGGGUAGUUCUGUGACAGUCCAAGUAGAUGUCUCCUUAAACCAAAACCCAAACCCAGUGCGAUAGAGUUGAUUCUGACUCAUAGCGACACAAUAGGACAGAGUAGAACCGCCCCGUAGAGUUUCCAAGGAGCACCUGGCGGAUUCGAACUGCUGACCCUUUGGUUAGCAGUCAUAGCACUUAACCACUAUGCCACCAGGGUUUCCUUACUUCUUUUCAAUUUGUUCCUUUCAGGUAGUUUCUUUCUUUUUCUGGUUCAAAGUCAAUGUCUAAAUCAGGCCCUUUUGUAAUAGGAGCAGGCUUGUUGUCCUUUAUUAACGAAUCACCUCUCUCUCUUCACAUUGGGGAGUUUUGCUGUGUUGACUGUGUUUUGGGCCUAAUAUUGUUUCUGAUAUUUAUCCUUCCUUAGAGUUGGAAAAGGGGUAAGCCCCAGACUUAACUUCCUCACUUAUGUGUAAUAUUCGUAAAUAACACUAACGGUGUAUGCUCAAUGUCUGAAUUACAUAAAGAAGUAGUAAUUGAGUUUUGGUGCUGCCUGAGGAAGAGGUGAGGAGGUUGGGAAAAGCUGAAUUUAUGAAAUGGCCUUGUAAUAUCAUCUAGGUAAUUAUUCUUGUUAGUUGACUAUUCCCAAGGGCAAAGAAUACAUAUUUUGGCAUAGAGACAGGUCUCCCUACCAGCAAAGGAAAAAGGACUCAGGAGGAGUGAGGGACUAUUUUAUUCAUGAUAGCUUUAGCAGUCACUUUCCUUCACAUUCCUGCCUUGUGCUCUUUUUUGAUUUUUUUUUUUUAGUUAGUGUCAUGGACUGAAUUGUAGCCCCCCAAAAUAUGUGUCUAGUUGGCUAGGCCAUGAUUUCUGGUAUUGUGUGAUUGUCCACCAUUCUGUCAUCUGACGUGAUUAUCCUAUGUGUUGUAAAUCCUACCUCUACGAUGGUCAUGAGGCAGGAUUAAAGGCAGUUAUGUUAAUAAAUCAGGACUCAAUCUACAAGAUUAUGUUGACUCUUAAGCCAAUCUCUUUUGAGAUAUAAAAGAGAGAAGUGAGCAGAGAGACACGGGAACCUCAUACUAUCAAGAAAUAAGACCCAGGAGAAUAGAAUGUCCUUUGGGCCUGGGGAUCCCUGCGCUGAGAAGCUCUUUGACCAGGGAGAAUUGAUAACAAGGAACUUCCCCCAGAGCUAACAGGGAGAGAAAGCCCUACUGUGGACCUGGUACCCUGAAUUCAGACUUCUAGCCUCCCAGAUUGUGAGAGAAUAAAUUUCUUUUUGUUAAAGCCAUCCACUUGUGGCAUUUCUGUUAUAGCAGGACUAGAUGACUAAGGCAGUAUAUCCUGAGUUUUGUCUGAGUAUAAUACAUUUUUUUAAGAUAAUUUAUCUUUUAGAAAUUGAGUUAAACUUUACAAUAAGUAUUUAGAGUUAAUUAAUAUGUUUACAUGGUGAUGAACACUACACACUUGGUUGACUAGUCCUUUCUCUCUCUUCCCUACUCUUCAGACCAUCUGUCCAUGAUAGAGCCUAAGAAUGACAAAUAGUUUCCUGGCCUCACCUGCAAUUAGAGAUGGCCAUGUGGCUUAGUUCUGAUUAAUUAGAUAUAGGGAGAUAUUGGUUGGGGAAACUCCUAGGAAAGAAUUUCUUCUUUGAUUAAAAAGGGAGAUAUAGAUAGAAAGUUCUGUUCUUUACUCAUCCCUCAUGGUUACGUGAGACGUGAUAUCUCUCCUGGUAAAGCUUACAAGGUAGCAAUUCUGAGGAUGAAAGCCAACUGCUUAGGACAAGGAAUGGAAGAAAGAAACAUGUCCUGGUCUUUGAGGAAAUUAUUGCACCAGUCCACUGGACCAAAUUGAGUAAUGCAUAUCCCUUUACUUGUUAGGUCAUGCUACAAAAACUUUCCCCGUUUUUCUUAAGUAUUCUGUGGCUUACUCUCUCAACCCUCCAUCCCUCAAUUCUCUUUAUUAUUGAGUUUAUUUAAUGUCUGCAAGCCUUUCUUCUUCUCUGGUCCUUACUUCGUCUAACUGUCCUCCUAAUUCUACGUCACAAAAGACCCAGAACAGGCUUGCCAUAGGCAGAACAUUUUAAGGGGGCAGGGAAAAGGGAGAGGCAGGAAAUAUGUUCAUUUUGAAAAAUCCAGUGGCCAAUUACACUUAAGAAAACUUGGGUUUUGUUUUGUGGUAGCCAUGGAAGGACUUUAAACUUGAAAGUGACAUGAUCGGACUUGCAUUUUAAAAUAUUUACCUUUUGUAGACUCAGAGCAAACAAUUAGUUAUGUAAAUACGUUGUUGCUGUUAGUUGCCACUGAGUUGUCUCUGAGUCACGGUGGCCUUAUAUAUAACAAAAUGAAACCAUGCCCAGUCCUGCACUAUCUUCAUGACUGUUGCGUGUCUGGGUCCACUGUUGUGGGCAUUAUGUCAAGCCAUCUCGUUGAGAGUUCUCCUUGUCUUUGCUGCCCCUCCACUUUGACAAACAUAAACAUAGUAGGUGCUCUUC
Loxodonta africana (African savanna elephant) is the source of this 5413-nucleotide long non-coding RNA. RefSeq lists it as uncharacterized. Lineage: Eukaryota; Metazoa; Chordata; Mammalia; Proboscidea; Elephantidae. The record is from RefSeq and is a predicted model, not a curated record. The transcript is spliced from 5 exons.